Molecule: long non-coding RNA, 2625 nt
Organism: Helianthus annuus (common sunflower)
Lineage: Eukaryota; Viridiplantae; Streptophyta; Magnoliopsida; Asterales; Asteraceae
Exons: 6
Source: RefSeq, a predicted model, not a curated record
GGCAAUACAUCAGAACAUUUUCUCUGUAAACCCUAAACUACAAACGCCGCUUUCAUUCUUUUCAUCUAUCUUUGUGUUUUCUCCUCUCCAUUGAAGCCGCUUCGAUUAUGUUUAAGCGGACGACGGCAACGAAGUCUUCGUUAUGUGUGAAGGCCGUAAUCAACGUUGGUGAUGGUGGUGCCGGGUGUUGACGUCACUGAACUCUAAAUCACUAACAGAGACUAUAUUUAUUCAAUUGGAUGGUGGGAACUGCCGGUGAGAACGACGACGAAGACCGAUGGCUGUCGUAAUAGGUUGUGGUGGAAAGGUGGACUAAACCGAUCUUCCUGAGAUGGAGAAGAAGAAUUAUGUGUCUUUGAUGGAAGUUGGAAUCUAAGUGAUUACUUGGCAAAUGGAGUCGACAUGAAGAUUGAAACACCCUGGUUUGAGGUAUUUCAAACUUUUAUUGACAUUAUGUUUUAUAAACCUUAAGAUGUAAAUAUCUUAGUUCUAUUUUGUUAUACCUUAAAAUUCUCUCAUGGGUAAAUUAUUCAAUGAUUUAUUAAAAGUUUGGUGGUUAAUCUCAUUUUGGAUGAAGAUGACAGUUGACCUUUUUAUAAACAUAUAUACAUAUUAAAAAUAUAUUACUAAACGAUCAUUAUCAGGUUAAUGGAAUACAAGUGAACUACUGGGUCAUCAAUUAUGUUAUAAAUUUUUUGUAUGUUGUGCUGAAUAGCUAGGUGUUCACACACGGGCCAAACUUGCGAAAGAAAACUGGAAAAAAAUACAACUAUUAGAGUGCUAAAAUGUUGCAGAAAUAAACUAUUUCAAAUCCAGUGUUGGAUUGUUAUUAUGUUGACAUCAAGUUUCAGGUUUUAUAAAAGUAGUUCAAGGAUUAAUUCUCUUACUUUUAUCAUUAGAAGGAGGUAUUAUUCUUAAACAGGUUGCUGAUGCUAUGGCCCACAUAAUGCACAAUAAAAGAUUAAUCUAAACAUUUUAUUUGUAUAUGAUUGCACUGACACUUGGAUUUACUUAAAUGAAAAGAAGAGGAAAAAAAUAAGGCGGAUUCCAUGGGGAUAAAAUUGUAUGCGUGUAAUGAGUUCUCUCACACGGUUAGUUUUCCAUUUGCAAUUAAUACUAGCUGCAGUUUCGACCCUUUUACUUAUUAGUGGUUUGGGUUGCGUUCUACAUCAAAUGGGUUAAAUAGUCAAAGAAAGUGUUUUGGAAUGUUCAUUCAAACGUCAAUAAUAUACUGCUAAUAAAUAAUUAGCGCAUUAUCUUUUUACUAAAAAAAAUUCAAAGCUGAGCAAGAAAAUGGUUGAGAAUCAGCACUAGGGAUGAGCAUGGUACCCGUUCGGUACUAAACCGGUACCGGUACUUCUGAAAGUACCGGUACCAAAAUACGGGAAAAAUUGGUACCGGUACCGUAUAUACCGGUUUGAUACGGUACCGGUAUUUACUGGUGUUUUACCCGUAAAUACCGCUACCUGGCACCAAAUACUCAUCUCUAAUCAACACAACUAGCAAUGGGUGAUAGUUUUGUUUCUUAAAAAUAUAAAUCAGUGGAUGUGAUAUUGCAUAUAUUUUAGUUUUACAUUUCUUUUUAUUUUUUUGUUAUUUCUUUAUUUACACUCACUAUUUAGCUUCCUUUUUUACUUUGAUAUUAAUUUUAAUUUUGUCUUAAUCUUUAAUUUUGUUUUAAUCCUAUUAUUCAUUCUAAGAGUACUUUUAUAAAGAUGGUUACUACUUUUUAGAUGUAGAAAAGUGAGUGCAUUGGGUAAUGGUUUGAAAUGGGUUUGGGUUGAAGUGGGUCACCUUAGUCGACAAGAAAGUGUUAUGGUUCAAUCCAUUUUGACCCUUGCUAGGAGGACAUACUUUAAGCCUACGUUGUACCCAACUCGCCCAUCUUGCCUCCUCCAUUGUUAAUGACAGUUUUUAUUCGUCAGAUUCUUUGAUUGGCAGGUGUAAAUUAUUGUUUACAAGGUUCCUAAAGACGAGUUUGAGAAUAACUUCCAUAGUCGCUCAAGAGGAAAUAUGAUUGGUGCAACAUCCAGUAAACAAGUUUUUGUUUUGUUAUUCUAUGUGUUAAUAUAUUUUUUUCACGUAUAAUUUUAAAGUAUGUAUCUACGGUUUCAGUUAAGUUGACUGGCAACAAUUACUCCACCGACUCUGCGACUCCGCUUUUAAGUUCCUCAUCUUCAGACAUCAGAAGGUCGUAAAGACAACUACGUGUACGUCUCUGAAGCUCUCACAGCAGGAAUCGUAGCAGGUGGUGUGGAAUCACUAAUGAGCUAUCCGUUUGAGCUUUUUACGAUUCGUGCACAGGUGUCAGCCGUUUCUCAUGUUCCAAACUCUUCUACGAAUUUGCAAAAAGCGUCUAUAUCAACUUCAGUUACAAAACUAUUGCGUGGAUAUGAUCCAGACGUCAAGGCACUGGACCAUUCGAUUGGUCUGUUGGCCACCGUAGAUACUAAACGUUCGAACUUGACGAGCUCUCUGAAAGAGUACCCGUGUAUAUGUUUUUAUAUUUCAUCUAACGAGGCCUAAUGCAUUAGUGUUACUCUUGAUUCAAUAUUUUACUCAAUAGGUAUGGUUUGAUUUUAAUUUUAAAUAGAAAUGAAUCAGUGUGGUGAAAUUUUUUAUUAA